CUUUAUUGAUUAUUCUACUAAACUCC
RNAcentral lists this non-coding RNA (26 nucleotides) under Rattus norvegicus (Norway rat). The record is from RNAcentral. Lineage: Eukaryota; Metazoa; Chordata; Mammalia; Rodentia; Muridae.